GGAGGAAAGCAGGGGAUCGUAAGACCUCGCGCUAUUGGAGCGGCCGAUGUCCGAUUAGCUAGUUGGUGGGGUAAUGGCCCAUCAAGGCAACGAUCGGUAGCUGGUCUGAGAGGAUGAUCAGCCACACUGGGACUGAGACACGGCCCAGACUCCUACGGGAGGCAGCAGUGGGGAAUUUUGGACAAUGGGCGCAAGCCUGAUCCAGCCAUGCCGCGUGAGUGAAGAAGGCCUUCGGGUUGUAAAGCUCUUUCAGCCGGGAAGAAAAGGUUGCGACUAAUAAUCGCAAUUCAUGACGGUACCGAAAGAAGAAGCACCGGCUAACUACGUGCCAGCAGCCGCGGUAAUACGUAGGGUGCGAGCGUUAAUCGGAAUUACUGGGCGUAAAGGGUGCGCAGGCGGUUUUGUAAGUCAGAUGUGAAAUCCCCGGGCUUAACCUGGGAACUGCGUUUGAAACUACAAGGCUAG
This 465-nucleotide ribosomal RNA is filed under the name uncultured bacterium. Its description in RNAcentral is "bacterial SSU rRNA". It matches the Rfam family "Bacterial small subunit ribosomal RNA", at positions 198 to 644 of the family's 1533-position model. The record is from RNAcentral.